UUGCCCAUUUCCUUUAAUUUUUGAGAACAAAGUCAGUAAAUGAAAUCUUGUGCCCUUCAAAACCAAACAUAAUCUUUCUUUGUGCAAAAUGUUACAUAAACCAUAGUGGUUGUUCAUUUUUAUUGUAUUAUUUUUAAUAAUUCUGCAAAUAUUUCAGAAAAGGGCAGUUGGCUCCUACUGCAUUAAAAAAUCAUCACCACAGAGCUGGGUUUUUUACAUCUCCCCUCAUAUAAUUUCAAAAAAAUCCCCAACCACAAUUAGGAAAUUUACCCUCCCACUUCCCUCCCCACAAAAAGAAAAAAAAAUAUUUUUUUUAAUCAAUAAAGUGUUAAACAAAUCAGCAAUCAGCACACAGAGCAGAGCUCAGCAGUAAGACGGGGGAUGCUUUAGAGCACAGGUGAAAUGUUCAUAGCAGCACGGGAGCAGCUCCUGGGCACAGCACAGCCUUCCUGCAGGCCUGGGGCCAGGACCACGGGACUCACACAAAGCACAGGGAGCCCUUUUUGUCCUACAGCAGCGUUUAUCCCCAUCCCAGUGAUGCUUUAGGGUUUUAGCUUUUCUAUUUUUCAAUUCCUGUGCUGCAUUAAUGCAUAAUCUAAACUCCAUACAGAGUGCUGGGUACUGUCUCCACAUUUUGGGCAGACACAACAAUUCCUCUCCAGGCCUGGAACUCAAGGACACCUCACUGCCUCAGGCCCCAAAAAGGAAAACCUAAAGUGAGCUGGGAGAGCAAACUGGGGUAAAUGACUUCAUUACCUGCAGCUGGAAUUGGAGCAUUAACCCAUUAACUGAUAAUUGUGUGAAAACCUCGUGCCCAUCGCCCACCUUGGGUGCAGCCUCUGGAGGCUGUGGCUGCCCAAGCUGUGCCUGCUGAAGGCUUUAAUAAAUCCCCACUUUAUUCCCUUAACCUUGCCUGGCCUCUGCUCUGGGGGCCCCUCCAAAGCAUCAGUUUCCUGCCCCAUCUGGGGUGCCAAAACCACCAAGACAUCACCUCAGCCCGUGUGGGGUCACUUUGUGCCCAUGGAUGGCCCCAGGAGCAGGGGCUGCACCUCUUGGCACUUCCUCAGAAUCCUGACUGCCGAGGGAAUGACUCUGAAAUCCAGGCCAAGCACAACCUAAAGGUUCUCAGGAGUCCCAAAAUCCAGACCCAGCACAACCUAAAGGUUCUCAGGAGUCCCAAAAUCCAGACCCAGGACAAACUAAAGAUUCUCAGGAGUUCUGAAACCAUGGCUAAGCACAGCCUAAAGGUUCUCAGGAGUCUGAAAUCCAGGCCAAAUACAACCUAAAGAUUCUCAGGAGUCCCAAAAUCCAGGUCCAGGACAAACUAAAGAUUCUCAAGAGUCCUGAAACCAAGGCCCAGCACAACCUAAAGGUUCUCAGGAGUCCUGAAAUCCAGGCCCAGCACAACCUAAGGUGCAUCUCCCUUCAGUGAUCAGAAAAUAUCUUCACAUUCUCCAUGCGAGGGACCAUAACCCACCCCAAGGCCCACGUGCAGCUCUGGGGCCUUGGUUCUGCAGCCUGGGUGGUUGGGGAGAAAGCCAAGGAAGGGAGACUGGGGUCACAAAUAUUCCUGGCUUGUUGGGACUUCCAAAACUGAGAAUUCCUAGAUUUUGGAGUGUUGAUGUCAAUUCAGUUUCUUCACUGUAUAUAAAUCAAUCUGUGGUUUCAAUUCUGGGAACAUUCCUCUCCCAGUUUUCCCAUGGGACUGAGUUUUGGCUCCCUCUGAGGGAGGCACAAAAUGAUGGUUUUGUGCCUUCCUAAAUCCAGGUUUCUUCCAAAUGUUCUGCCCCAGGCACCUCACAAUGGAGACAUGAAAACGGGACUUACAGGAUCUGAAGUCCUCUGCUAGGCUUCCACCUUGCCACAUACAAAAUAAACCCCUACAAAUAAGAUAAAGUAAAAAUUAAAUGACUCUAUUAGAUUUAAUGAAGUGACUCGAGACAAAGCAGUUCCAUAAAAAUGCUUUUUUAAAGAAGUAACAGCAAGAGCUCAGAGAAGUGCUGACUGCAGGUACAGUUCUAGCCAAUAUUAAGAUAUAUUUAGUGAUUUCUAGGAAAAUAUUUCCUUGGGAGAAGGUCAGGAGCCAUUUCUGUUGCUUACAACUCCAGGUGCUGUUUCUGAGCUCCAGUGGGUUGGAGUUGCAGAGAAGGCAGCAGGUUUUAUGACAUUUCUUCUGGGCUGUCUCUUGUCUCUGCUCCUGAAUCCUGUGCAGUGCAGGAUGCUGUUCCUCCACAGGUUUCUCACACAACCAUCAAAUAAAAAAAAACAGGCCAAGAAAAAAAAUGUCCAGAACAAAUAACAGUGCUUGGAGUAUGAUCAGGUAAAAAAACCCACAUCCUAAGACAGAGUGUAGGAGUUUCCAUACUGGGCCAUCUGCACACCUCCUGGAACAACCAUCCAGCAGCUGGAUCCACGUACAAAACCAGCUUUAAACCCAGGAUUUUAACCCUAACCAGUCCAGAGCAAGGCCUGACUGAGAAAGCCAGCACUGCUCCCUUUGUGCCAGCGAGGGGUCACAAGAGCCCUGUGAGAAUCCCCUCCCUGCACCACCCAAAAAUGACCUCCUGGGGCUCCUGCACGGAUAAAGGACAUCACCCCAACCUUCUGCUAAAGAAAUCCCUGCUCUGACUUCAGACUCCAUCCCAUCCAGGGCAGAGGAAUCUGUGCCUGAUCUGAGGGGACCUGGGAAGGGCCCUGAAGAGGAAUCAGAACCCCCUGAAUUGCAAGGAUCAUCCAGGCCAGCUCCUGGCCCUGCAAAGAACACCCCAAACCCCACCCUGUGCCAGCAGAGGAGCUGUGUAGGGAUCCACACUGGCACUGUAGGAUUCUGGAUUCCUUUGGAAGGGAAUGAGUUGUACAGACAGAGAGCCCUAAACCUGGCCCUAAACCUGCUCUUUUCCCUUCAGGACAUCUCCAGCUCAGUGAAAUAACUUUGAUCUCCUGCUGGACAAGCACACACAAACUCAGGUCAGUCCAGGGAGCGGGAAGUGCUGGCCAAAAUUCAGGAGCAGCCACCCACGGAGGAAAAUGGAAAGGUUUGGGAGCACAUCCUGACAGAGACCAGGAACUUACAGCAGCAAAAUUCAGAGCCCUUCAGAACCAGCCUCUAUCCAAUCUCCAGGAAAACUGCGGCUCAGGAUGGGCCCAUUCCACAUUUCCAGCCCUGCUGAAGCCAGUGGAGGGUGGAGGGAAGGAGGUGGGAGCAGCUGAGGUGCUGUUGGCAUCACCAAACUCACCCUGAAAGGAGAUUUCUUCCCAAGCAAACCACAGGACAGGCUGGUCCCCUUUAUAUACACACAUGGACAGCUGAAAUGGGCUGAAAUGCUUACAGGUUAGAAGGUCUAUACAACAUUACACCUGCCACAAAUCAAAGUAGAAAAGUUUUACAGCACAUUAUACAGGUCCCUCUAAAGUCUAAAAAAAAAACCAAAAAACAUUGACUGGAAUCACCAUA
Long non-coding RNA from Passer montanus (Eurasian tree sparrow), 3454 nucleotides. RefSeq lists it as uncharacterized. The transcript has 2 exons. The record is from RefSeq and is a predicted model, not a curated record. Lineage: Eukaryota; Metazoa; Chordata; Aves; Passeriformes; Passeridae.